RNAcentral lists this ribosomal RNA (119 nucleotides) under Betta splendens (Siamese fighting fish). Lineage: Eukaryota; Metazoa; Chordata; Actinopteri; Anabantiformes; Osphronemidae. The record is from RNAcentral.
GCUUACGGCCAUACCACCCUGAGCACGCCCGAUCUCGUCUGAUCUCGGAGGCUAAGCAGGUUCGGGCCUGGUUAGUACUUGGAUGGGAGACUGCCUAGGAAUACCAGGUGCUGUAAGCU